UUGAUUUUUUAAGGYYGGACAGAUAUUUUUCCGGCAGCCGAAUACAUUAGCMUGGGAUAAUGGAAUAGGACCCUGAUCCCUUAUUUUCAGUUGGUUUUGUUUAUACAGCGAGGUUCAUCMGGGUAAUGAUUAAUAGGGAUAGUUGGGGGCAUUAAUAUUUAAUUGUYAGAGGUGAAAUUCUUGGAUUUAUGAAAYAUUAACUUCUGCGAAAGCGUUUGCCAAGGAUGUUUUCAUUWAUCAAGAAKKAAAGUUAGGUGAUCGAAGACGAUCAGAUACCGUCGUAG
RNAcentral lists this ribosomal RNA (284 nucleotides) under Acanthamoeba lenticulata. RNAcentral's name for it is "partial small subunit ribosomal RNA". The record is from RNAcentral. Lineage: Eukaryota; Discosea; Longamoebia; Acanthamoebidae.